UAGGGAAUAUUGGGCAAUGGACGCAAGUCUGACCCAGCCAUGCCGCGUGGAGGAAGAAGGUUCUCUGAAUUGUAAACUUCUUUUAUAUAGGGAUAAACGAGUGUUAUAUGCACUUUUGAAGGUACUGUAUGAAUAAGCACCGGCUAACUCCGUGCCAGCAGCCGCGGUAAUACGGAGGGUGCAAGCGUUGUCCGGAUUUAUUGGGUUUAAAGGGUGCGUAGGCGGAUUUAUAAGUCAGUGGUGAAAUCUUGCGGCUCAACCGUAAAAUUGCCAUUGAUACUAUAGAUCUUGAGUAUAUUUGAGGUAUCUGGAAUGCGUAGUGUAGCGGUGAAAUGCAUAGAUAUUACGCAGAACGCCGAUUGCGAAGGCAGGAUACUAAGAUAUAACUGACGCUGAGGCACGAAAGCGUGGGGAGCGAACAGGAUUAGAUACCCCCGUAGUCC
Molecule: ribosomal RNA, 443 nt
Filed under: uncultured prokaryote
Description: bacterial SSU rRNA
Rfam family: Bacterial small subunit ribosomal RNA
Source: RNAcentral